Molecule: transfer RNA, 73 nt
Filed under: Alphaproteobacteria bacterium
Lineage: Bacteria; Pseudomonadati; Pseudomonadota; Alphaproteobacteria
Description: tRNA-Arg
Rfam family: tRNA (bases 4-63)
About the family: Transfer RNA (tRNA) molecules are approximately 80 nucleotides in length. Their secondary structure includes four short double-helical elements and three loops (D, anti-codon, and T loops). Further hydrogen bonds mediate the characteristic L-shaped molecular structure. tRNAs have two regions of fundamental functional importance: the anti-codon, which is responsible for specific mRNA codon recognition, and the 3' end, to which the tRNAs corresponding amino acid is attached (by aminoacyl-tRNA synthetases). tRNAs cope with the degeneracy of the genetic code in two manners: having more than one tRNA (with a specific anti-codon) for a particular amino acid; and 'wobble' base-pairing, i.e. permitting non-standard base-pairing at the 3rd anti-codon position.
Source: RNAcentral
GCGGUGGGUGACGGCUUAAACUAUAGGCCUCCGAAGCCGAAGGUCACAGGUUCGAAUCCUGUCGGGCGCGCCA